Molecule: ribosomal RNA, 250 nt
Filed under: uncultured bacterium
Lineage: Bacteria
Description: partial 16S ribosomal RNA
Rfam family: Bacterial small subunit ribosomal RNA
Source: RNAcentral
UAGAUACCCUGGUAGUCCACGCCGUAAACGAUGAGACUAGAUGUUAGGGGGCUUAGACCUUUUAGUAUCGCAGCAAACGCGUUAAGUUCUCCGCCUGGGGAGUACGGCCGCAAGGUUAAAACUCAAAUGAAUUGACGGGGGCCCGCACAAGCGGUGGAGCAUGUGGUUUAAUUCGAUGCAACGCGAAGAACCUUACCUACCUUUGAAUCCACGGAAUCUUGCAGAAAUGUGAGAGUGCCUUCGGGAACCG